GGGCUUGCCUCAGCAGCACGUACACUAAAAUUGAAAUGACACAGAGAGGAUUAGCAUGGCCCCCACGCAAGGAUGACACACAUUGAUGAGGUGUUCCAUAUUUUG
Molecule: small nuclear RNA, 105 nt
Filed under: Balaenoptera musculus (blue whale)
Lineage: Eukaryota; Metazoa; Chordata; Mammalia; Artiodactyla; Balaenopteridae
Source: RNAcentral